RNAcentral lists this long non-coding RNA (5147 nucleotides) under Vitis vinifera (wine grape). RNAcentral's name for it is "long non-coding RNA (VVIN_LNC000781)". The record is from RNAcentral. Lineage: Eukaryota; Viridiplantae; Streptophyta; Magnoliopsida; Vitales; Vitaceae.
UGUUGAUGCUUGCAUUUCAAUUGAGGAUCGUGGGCUUGGCAGGAGGCUGUGUUAUUUUUACGAAUUCUUCAGCAAAAGGCUGAAUGUCUGUUGUGUCGCGGCUUGUUUGUUCUUCAACUUGCUGCGAUGAUUGUAGGCAAGGGACUGAACAAGUGGUGUGUGAUCCAAAACACCGAGAACACAAUGUAGCAACAUCCCGCGCUAGUGAGGAAGCCAAUCUCAGCAUACUUUCUUAUGUUUCUAUGACACGAGCUCCAAGUACCUAUUAGAUAGUGGAUAUAAGCCAAUGAGGAAGUCAAUAUCAACAUACUUUCUGAUAUAGGCCAGUGAUGGACCCAGCAACAAUCUUAACAAGCUCACCUCCUUAAUGAAUGUAACACUUCCAUUUCCUUAAUCACAUAAAGAUUUGUUAUAAACAAUAUAUGCAACAACGAAAGAUUAAGGAAUUAUGUAUGUUGAUUACAAUUCCUUGUAUGUAGAAAUUAUAUAAGCUUAACAUACGGAUUGUCGAAGCUUCCAGCAAGGAACUACCUAAUUAAGGUUCAGAGAUGAACAUUGGAUGUUGCACACAAGUAGUGUGCAAGUGCAACUACAUUAGUACCUAAGGAUCACUAAGCUAGUACCUAAGGACUACUAAGGUUGUACCUAAGGACUACUAAGGUUGUACCUAAGGUUAACUAAGGUAGUACCUAAGGUUAAUUAAGGUAGUACCUAAGGUACAAUCACUAGUAUAUGAAAGGAGAACCAACUGAGCACACUAAUUAGACACAUAAUGCCAUGAUCAGUUGAGUGUGGAACCGAAUAUGUUGUAAGUUAUGCAUGGAUCGAAAGUAGCUUGUGGGUCCUAUGCUUGACAAAUCAACUCCAUUGGGUUGAAAAAUAAGGGAACUAAUAUUCACAAAUGAAGUGUCUUAAUGUUCAGAAAUGUAGUUUCGAGGUAUCACACAGGUAGUACCUAAGGUGUGCUAAGAUAGUACCUAAUGUUGACUAAGGUAGUAGCUAAAGUUGAUUAAGGUAGUACCGAAGGUAUAUUUAAGUAGUACAUAAUUACUCAACAGUAGACAAAAGGUUAACCAACUGAUCACUGGAAUAAGACACGAUGUGCUAAGGUAGUACCUAAUAGCUUGCUCGGUUCUAUGCACAAUUGAGUAUGUUUAAUGGACGUAGCCCAUGCAAUGCCACUUAUUGGUCAUAUCUUUGAAAACGGACUGCAUAACAUUGAGAAAGGAAUUAGCUAAUGUUAACGAAUGAAGUAACUAAGGCUCACAUAUAUUUAAUAAUAUGUUGGACAUGUGAGUGAAACUUAUAGUAUCAAGUACAUUGAGUGCCAAAUAAUAUAGGAAAAUGGUACGCACAAGUGUAAUAUGUAAACAGAGGGAUGAAAAAUAAAUGUUUAUGUUCUUGUGUUUUUAUAACAACAUCCACGUCUAAAGCAUGCCAAAGUUGGUUUAAUAAUGUGUACUACUCAGUAAUGUUUGUUAAAGAAGAAGUACAAUUGGAGGAGUGACAAUGAAUUGUAGUAUAUGCUGAAGUGUCUUGGCUUCAUAGCUUGAAAUGGAAUUAAAACAAUAUCGGCUGCAUAAAGGAAGCAAGAAAGAGAUCAAAUGGUAUUUUUGUACAUGAAACACUAAAAUCUCGUUGGCUCGCCACUGUAUACAGAUAUAGGAAUUGAACAUCACACUGCCAAGUAGCUUUCCAUAAUUGAAUUUUUAUGCCAUCACUAAUUGAGAACUAAGUGAAAAGGGUGAAAUCACAAAAUACCUAUGUAAGGACCUUCCAAGGGCACCCAUAUGACUACCUAACAAUAGCAUUAGAGUGUAGGCCAUAAAUAGAAAAGAUGAUAUUGUUCCAUAAAGUAUUGUUGUCCUUAAGGAGCCUCCAUAAUAACUUUUGUAAUAGGGCUCUAUUCUUGAAGGAGCCUCCAUAAAUACUAAAGAUGAUAUUAUGUCAUAAUUCUAUAGUGCCUAUUCAUUUUGUUAUCCAUAAAUCCUUAACCCAAAAACCAUAUUCAAUAACAGGAACACGGAAUACCACUUCUAAGCUUUUCAUUUCUGGAACUUAAAGUUUGUGGAACCUCAUCUCAUGCACCCAAAUGAUAUCGAUCAGUGAAUCAUGAAGAGAUUAUGAAUACCAAUGUUUCAUAUUCAAGAAUUCCUAAUUACAAUUUCAAUAUGCCUAAUUACAGUCUGUAUAAAAUCAGUAUCAAUACAUGUUAGUUACAUAAUUUAUAAAUGACAAUCAACUGUCGAAGACUCAUUUUGCCAAUAAUUUUUUUCACUCUAUCAUUUAAGUGAUGAAAAUAUGUAAUAAAAAUUUUAAAGUGAAAUAAGGAUCAUACAUGGAUGAAAUGUAUUAAUAUGAGAAACAUCAAGUUCUAUUACACAAAGACUGGUUGUGAGUAAAUACAUACAUUUGACUACUUAUUGUCCCGUACCAAAUGUUUCGAAGAAAAAACUUUCAAUUUUAUAAUUUUCAUGACUCGUUAACAUUUUCAAAAUGAAAAGUUCACUAAACAUGUAAUUUCUAAUAAAAUAAAGAGCAUUUAUACACAAAGUAGAUAACAAACUAGCAUUACAUAAAACUAAAUACACAAAUCCUCUCAAACAACUUUUUCAUUUCUUAAAGAACAAUAAUAACGAAAUGAAUCAAUCCUAAGCCUCAACUUUUUCCUUUUCCGUAUCAACCACAUAGCAUUGAGUAAACUCAUUAUUUAUAAUUCAAUUCAAUCAUUAAAGCUCUCAAUGAACCCUCUCAUAGAUCCAAAACCCAAUUCAACAUUUAAUUCCAAUUUUCCAAUGUAGAAGCAAAGAACUUAUUAUGUAUCUUACCACUUAUUAAAGCUUUCUUUGUGCAAGCUUCAAACCCAAUGUUCUCUUUUUGGUAGGUGUUGUGGGUUUUACCAAGAGUCCCAAAGGAUGAGGUUAUCCUAUGAAGUUUAAUAAUAAUUUGUUUAUUUUUCUAGGUGGGAUUCAACAAAAUUGAGGGAAUGAGAGCUAAGAUGAAUGAGGAAAGGGUUGUGUGUUUGGCCAUUAGAGAGUAGAAAAUAAAAGGGAAGAAUAAAUUUGAGAGGUCAUGGAAAAAAAUGUACAAUAAAAAACAAAAGGGCUAUGCAAUAAGAAUCAAUAAAACAUAGACACCCACUUCCUCCUUCUCGAUUGUUUAUAUUCUGCUUACUAUCAUUAUAUUUUUUUCCUGUUUCUUUGCCUUGUUUUGCCUCUUCAUGAUUUUCUUCAUUUGCUUAUUUUGGUGAUACUUUAUUAUCUCAAUAUCAUUCCUUUCAUUCCCUUCAAUCCCUUUUAUUGCGGUUUUUCAGCUUGUGUGUUUUAUAGAGUUUCAACUUUAAACUGCCUUUCUAGAGAUGCGGAGAGAAAAGGCUCAAAUGCGGUGUAUAGAAAACUCCACAAGUCACCAACUCACCUUUUGUAAGUGAUGUUGAGGUUGCCCUCAUCAUUUUCUCUCGAAGAGGGAAGCUUUAUGAAUUUUCCAGUUCUAAGUAUGUUUUCCUUACUUCUUUCUUCUCCUAUUAAAAACAUUAAUAUCGAAUCCAUCAUUGCAAUCUCCAAACUACUUUCUCUUACUAUUUCGUUUCCAAUUCAUAAAUAUGACUACUAAUAACGAAUGGCAAGCACACUAAUGUCUCUAUGAGUCUCAUAUUAGGGAAGUACUCUCCCUUGUUCACUCAAUUUCAAUCAGAUCUCAUAUGCACUUUUUACAGCUAAUUCAAUCGUCUUACACGUUUCUUUCCUUCUCUAGUAAAAUUCCCUUGUAAGUUUUUUUCCUUUCCUUCUCUCUAUUCACACAAAAAAAUAAAUAAAUAAACAAUUACCAAAAAAACACUUAAUCCAAAACAAUUUUCAAAAGAGCAUUACCACAAUUACUUAAUGUGCCUGAUGAGGUUUUCUCUACUUGCUUCUUUCUCUUCUCCAAUUUUCUACACAUCAUUUUUUGCUACACCAAGUCUUAACAAUACCAUCACCACAAUUCUUAACACAUAUAUGACUAAUUCAUUUUCUUCUAAACCACUGAUACAACAAGGUUUUCCACUCUUAACAAUAGAAAUAAAAAGUUAUACUGACCUUGGUUUGAUUUAUCAAUACGAUUAAUACAUACAGGUGGGCAGUAGUUGGAACUUGGAUAAAGGUCAUCCUUUGUGUUAUAUAAACCAUACAUAGUCACUCUCGUCUCAUCCUCCCAAAAGAAAAAGAGACAGAGCCCUGUUGCAUUAAACCCUUCAUAAUGCCUAUGUUUACAUCUGUUAUUGAGUUUGAAAAACACAGUAGCAUUUGACAAAAACUAAAAUAAAAUAACUAUUGUCCCAAAUAUAAAGACUUACAAAUGUAACCUAUAAAAAUGAAUACCAAUUCUCAUCUCAAUAAGAUGAAGGCAUGAACUUUUUUAAUUUUCAUGCUUCUAAGAUCCCCAAUCAAGCACAUAUACAUCUCAAAACAAAGAAAUCAACUUCCUAAAAUUGAAUAAGAAAGUAUGAAAGACACCUAUAAAUCUUCAAACUUUAGGGCAUUAUAGAUCAGAGAAGCCCUAGAACACAAAGAAAGUUUCAUAACAAGAGACUGGCCUCUCAAUUAAAAAGAAUAGAACAAAAAUUCCAUGAUGAUUCACAUUUGAAAACUUGGUUUGCUUGAAAUCCUAAAACGGUCUCCUAGAUUCAACUUCGAUCAUCAAAUCAAGCAACCCACUUCCUAAAAACCAAUGACAUACAAAAACAAAUUCAAAUUUUGAACAACCCAAAUUUCUGAGUUUGCUCUGCAAUAGGAAAGGGGAAAAAAAUACUCAAAUUGAUAAGCAUACUCAUCAGAAAUACAAAUCCAAUUAAAUAAACACUUUAAAUUGCAAAAAACUUUGCUCCAUAAAUCAUUCUCUUCUUGUUGUAAAAACCUAGUCACCAAAAUUUGAGUUGUAGCUAGUUGAGAAAAAAGCCAGACAAAAAAAAGAUUUGAGUGAAUGUGAAUGUGAAUGUAAGAGAAAGUAGGAAUGGGUUACCUCAAGAGAGAAAAUCGAAGGCUUCAGCCCCACAAAAUCGAGUCCCUCUAUCACUCACUCCUCUCAAUGUCUAGCAAAAACGCCCCUUUCUCACCCUAAAACACUCACUAUAUGUGUCCGCAAAUCUUAGAGAAAAAAAAUGGUAUGAU